GCCAAGCUUCAGACUUGGGAAAUUCCACCUGGUUUAAAGAUGCAUUGAACAGCUUUACUUUUUUUUCUUGACUAAACAAAAAAAAAAGGAGAAGGAGAGAAAAGAAUCGGAUAUCUGUUGUGAAGAAAGUGGGCAUAUUCUAUUCUCAUAGGAGAAUCCGCCCCAAUGCCAGCCUUGGCUCUAGCUAUCAACCUUUAAACUCGAGUUUCUUGGCCAUUGAAGAGUAUCAAAUCUGCAUCUAAAUCACUUCCUGAGUUAAGAAAAUAAAAGAGGUAAAGGGGAGGUUGAAGGAAGGAGAAUGGCGGCUAAGCUCCCAGUUAAAAAGAAUGAGUCUUAAUUUGCUCAUUUAGGCACCAACUAGAGCAUAUCUAACCAUUUUUGAAGGGUUCCCAAAUUAUAUUUCAAGGCUGGAAAUUUAUUGUAUAGAUUUGAUAUUGAGGCUUGAAAGAUGCUGGAAGUAUAGUUUUGGAAGGGCUAAAUCAUCAACUACGAUAAAUAGAUAGUUGGGGGCAUCAUUGGCGAGGAAUCCUUUGCAGCCGUGUAGGUAAUGGCAUCUCCUAUCUCUCUUCCCGUCGCUCCACUGUCUAGUCGUCGAGUCAUUUUAAAAUUGUAAUGAAUGAUGUGUUUAGGAUUAUUUUGAGACUAAGAUCUUAAAUAUUGUGAAUUUAAAAGUGUGGAGUUAUGUUAUCAAAACACGUGAACUAUUAUUGAGACAUUAUUAUUUCAAUGUGAGUUAUGGAUGA
This is a long non-coding RNA of Theobroma umbraticum, 743 nucleotides long. RefSeq lists it as uncharacterized. NCBI's taxonomy places the organism in Eukaryota, Viridiplantae, Streptophyta, Magnoliopsida, Malvales, Malvaceae. The record is from RefSeq and is a predicted model, not a curated record.